UACGUAGGUCCCGAGCGUUGUCCGGAUUUAUUGGGCGUAAAGCGAGCGCAGGUUGUUUAAUAAGUCUGAUGUAAAAGGCAGUGGCUCAACCAUUGUGUGCAUUGGAAACUGUUAGACUUGAGUGCAGUAGAGGAGAGUGGAAUUCCAUGUGUAGCGGUGAAAUGCGUAGAUAUAUGGAGGAACACCGGUGGCGAAAGCGGCUCUCUGGACUGUAACUGACACUGAGGCUCGAAAGCGUGGGUAGCAAACAGG
Molecule: ribosomal RNA, 252 nt
Filed under: uncultured microorganism
Description: partial 16S ribosomal RNA
Rfam family: Bacterial small subunit ribosomal RNA
Source: RNAcentral